GGGCCACUAGCUCAGUUGGUAGAGCAGGACACUCUUAAUGUCAAGGUCGUAGGUUCGACUCCUACGUGGCCCA
RNAcentral lists this transfer RNA (73 nucleotides) under Candidatus Omnitrophota bacterium. Its description in RNAcentral is "tRNA-Lys". It matches the Rfam family "tRNA". From Rfam's summary of the family: Transfer RNA (tRNA) molecules are approximately 80 nucleotides in length. Their secondary structure includes four short double-helical elements and three loops (D, anti-codon, and T loops). Further hydrogen bonds mediate the characteristic L-shaped molecular structure. tRNAs have two regions of fundamental functional importance: the anti-codon, which is responsible for specific mRNA codon recognition, and the 3' end, to which the tRNAs corresponding amino acid is attached (by aminoacyl-tRNA synthetases). tRNAs cope with the degeneracy of the genetic code in two manners: having more than one tRNA (with a specific anti-codon) for a particular amino acid; and 'wobble' base-pairing, i.e. permitting non-standard base-pairing at the 3rd anti-codon position. The record is from RNAcentral. Lineage: Bacteria; Pseudomonadati; Candidatus Omnitrophota.